This 289-nucleotide long non-coding RNA is filed under the name Brassica rapa (field mustard). Its description in RNAcentral is "long non-coding RNA (BRAP_LNC003716)". Lineage: Eukaryota; Viridiplantae; Streptophyta; Magnoliopsida; Brassicales; Brassicaceae. The record is from RNAcentral.
AAAAUUCAGCAGUCCACAUACAGGUAUAGGCUCAAAAAGGUCGCAACUGUUAAAUCCAACUAUUACAAGAAGUCCCCUCUCUUGGUAAUUUAGAGAUCGGCUGAUUUCAUCUCGUGCAAGGCAUAUAGUUCCACCAGAUAAAAGAACAGAACAGAACAUAACAAAUUAUGAUUCACGUGUUCCAUAGUAAAUAUUUAUUUUAAAAAAAAUCAAGUUAAAACAAAAAAAAAGUCUGUGAUUCAUAGAAAGACAAGUCCUAAAAAAUUAUUGGUAUCUAAAGAGCUCUAUU